CUUAUUGACUGUUAAAUAAAAUACUGUUUGGCCAAUGAGACAGCAAGUUAGACGGGACUAGGAGUCAAAGAGGAUUCUGGGAAAUGUAGUAGAGAAGUGGUGAUCCAGGCAGGAAGUGACAUAGCAAGGAGACUCAUAUUUAAGCGAAGGAGAAACAGGAAGGACUCUCCUUUCCCCUCGCCAGCAGCACAAUGUGAUCCAGCGACAAGGAGGGACACCAAUAAGGCUCUACACAAACAUCUGUGUCCACACUGGCCUCCUGGAGUUGUGAGUCUCAACUGAGUAGUGGCAAAAUCCUGAUGUUGACACUGGAAGAACACAUGAAACUCGCAGAUGAGUGACCAGGGGCCCUGAAAGUCAGCCCUGAAAUGCAAGGCGGCUCACAGCGAGGACGUGUAAACAAGGCGAAUGAACAGCUUGAGCAUUGAUUUAGUGUGUGACUUCCACGGCAGUGAGAUGUGAGAUCAUCAUUUGGCUUCUUUUGUUUCUGAGACAGGUUCUCUCCAGGUAGCCCAAGCCGGCUUUGAACUUGUAUAGUACAGAGUUCACGAUCUUCCUGGCUCAACCUUCCUGGUGCUAGAAUUACAGGCAUGCACUAAGAUCAGGUAGUUUUUGAGGACAAAAGUACCUUUUUAAUUAAAAUUUGGGUUUAUGUUAACUCAGGAGCUGAUCCUCAUUUAAAAACAGAAGUGACCAACAUCUAUCCUGCCAUGACAAUAGCAUCGCAACUAGCCAGUGAAC
Molecule: long non-coding RNA, 741 nt
Filed under: Cricetulus griseus (Chinese hamster)
Lineage: Eukaryota; Metazoa; Chordata; Mammalia; Rodentia; Cricetidae
Description: lncRNA (ENSCGRG00000025088.1)
Source: RNAcentral